RNAcentral lists this ribosomal RNA (143 nucleotides) under Ehrlichia chaffeensis. RNAcentral describes it as "partial 16S ribosomal RNA". It matches the Rfam family "Bacterial small subunit ribosomal RNA", at positions 1400 to 1533 of the family's 1533-position model. The record is from RNAcentral. Lineage: Bacteria; Pseudomonadati; Pseudomonadota; Alphaproteobacteria; Rickettsiales; Anaplasmataceae.
CACNAUGGGAGUUGGUCUUACCCGACGGCGCUGCGCCGACCCGCGAGGGGAGCAGGCGACCACGGUAGGGUCAGCGACUGGGGUGAAGUCGUAACAAGGUAGCCGUAGGGGAACCUGCGGCUGGAUCACCUCCUUUCUAAGGA